RNAcentral lists this unclassified non-coding RNA (382 nucleotides) under uncultured bacterium. Its description in RNAcentral is "contains 16S-23S intergenic spacer region". The record is from RNAcentral.
UCCGGUUUGUCACCGGCAGUCUCCCUAGAGUUCCCGACCGAAUCGCUGGCAAAUAGGGACAAGGGUUGCGCUCGUUACGGGACUUAACCCAACAUUUCACAACACGAGCUGACGACAGCCAUGCACCACCUGUGUUCCCGCCAGCCGAACUGAAGGAUGCCGUCUCCAGCACCCAUACGGGACAUGUCAAGGGUUGGUAAGGUUCUGCGCGUUGCUUCGAAUUAAGCAACAUGCUCCGCCGCUUGUGCGGGCCCCCGUCAAUUCCUUUGAGUUUCAGCCUUGCGGCCGUACUCCCCAGGCGGGGCACUUAAUGCGUUAGCUGCGACACCGAAUCCGUCUAUAGACCCGGCAUCUAGUGCCCAUCGUUUACGGCGUGGACUAC